This 468-nucleotide ribosomal RNA is filed under the name uncultured bacterium. Its description in RNAcentral is "partial 16S ribosomal RNA". It matches the Rfam family "Bacterial small subunit ribosomal RNA", at positions 28 to 507 of the family's 1533-position model. The record is from RNAcentral.
GACGAACGCUGGCGGCGUGCUUAACACAUGCAAGUCGAACGGAAAGGCCCGGCUUUUGUGGGGUGCUCGAUUGGCGAACGGGUGAGUAACACGUGAGUAACCUGCCCUUGUCUGUGGGAUAACUUCAGGAAACUGGGGCUAAUACCGGAGAGAAUCUCCUGCUGCGUGGGGGGGGUUGGAAAGUUUCGGCGGUUGGGGAUGGACUCGCGGGUUAUGAGCUUGUUUGUGGGGUAGGGGCUGACCAAGGCUUUGACGGGUAGCCGGCCUGAGAGGGUGACCGGCGACAUUGGGACUGCGGUACGGACCAGAAUCCUACGGGAGGCAGCAGUGGGGAAUAUUGCACAAUGGGGGGGAGCCUGAUGCAGCGACGCCGCGUGCGGGAUGACGGCCUUCGGGUUGUGAACAGCUUUGGCAUGUGACGAAGAGUGAGUGACGGUAAUGGGUCAAGAAGCAACGGCUAACUACGUG